GAUGAACGCUAGCGGCAGGCCUAAUACAUGCAAGUCGAGGGGCAACAGGUGUAGCAAUACAUGCUGGCGACCGGCGCACGGGUGCGUAACACGUAUGAAACCUACCUAUAACUUGGGGAUAGCCCGGAGAAAUCCGGAUUAAUAUCCAAUGACACUGUGAGAUGGCAUCAUCUUAUUGUUAAAGAUUUAUCGGUUAUAGAAGGUCAUGCGGCCGAUUAGCUAGUUGGUGAGGUAAUGGCUCACCAAGGCCACGAUCGGUAGGGGACCUGAGAGGGUGAUCCCCCACACUGGUACUGAGAUACGGACCAGACACCUACGGGUGGCAG
RNAcentral lists this ribosomal RNA (326 nucleotides) under uncultured Bacteroidota bacterium. RNAcentral describes it as "bacterial SSU rRNA". It matches the Rfam family "Bacterial small subunit ribosomal RNA", at positions 28 to 351 of the family's 1533-position model. The record is from RNAcentral. Lineage: Bacteria; Pseudomonadati; Bacteroidota.